GAUUUCUGGCUUGGCGCGCCUGGCCCGCCCUCUACCGAGGGUGAGUGCUGGUGUGCGCCUGCCAUCCUUCCGGAGGCCUGCUCUACCCUUAACUGGGCCGGAGUUAGGUGCCGGAUCUUUUACUUUGAAAAAAUUAGAGUGUUCAAAGCAGGCGUUUGCUGUGAAUACAUUAGCAUGGAAUAAUAAUUUAGGACUUUGGUUCUAUUUUGUUGGUUUCUAGGACUGAAGUAAUGAUUGAUAGGGAUAGUUGGGGGUGCUCGUAUUCAGUGGCCAGAGGUGAAAUUCUUGGAUUCACUGAAGACGAACUAAUGCGAAAGCAUU
RNAcentral lists this ribosomal RNA (321 nucleotides) under Ventricleftida sp. Its description in RNAcentral is "SSU rRNA". The stretch from base 111 to 321 matches the Rfam family "Eukaryotic small subunit ribosomal RNA", at positions 743 to 955 of the family's 1831-position model. The record is from RNAcentral. RNAcentral also lists the same sequence under 1 other name. Lineage: Eukaryota; Cercozoa; Thecofilosea; Ventricleftida.